This 633-nucleotide unclassified non-coding RNA is filed under the name Hevea brasiliensis (rubber tree). Lineage: Eukaryota; Viridiplantae; Streptophyta; Magnoliopsida; Malpighiales; Euphorbiaceae. The record is from RNAcentral.
UACUUUUAGAAGAACUUGAGCAACUGUAUAAAUAGGUGCUUGUUACUUUAUCCUUCAUGGUGAUAAAUGAUAGUGAUAAAUGCAGGUGGCUCUCUUUGGAUGUAGGCAUAUCAAAGAAGCACGUAAAACUUCCCGUGUGUUUUUCUUUUCUUUUCAAUAUGAUCGUUAUUCUAUUUAUACAGUUGCCCAAGUUCUUCUAAAAGUAGGAAUAGGAGAAACUCGAUAUUACAAAAAUAUCCCCCAUAAUCAGAACUGCCUUAGGCUACCUCUACUGUACAGUACCCCAGAGGGCAACGAUCCUUUCCGUGAUUAACAUAACCAGAGAAAGAUGUUUUGCAUGUUUACCCAUUUCUUGGAAUACCUAUUUUUGAAUAUAAGGUGGUCAAUGCAACAAUGACCAUGCCAAAUUCUUAUCCCAGGAAAUUGAAAAGGUAAUAAUGAUGAUGAAGUAUGUACAUAUAUAUAUAUAUAUAUAUCUCAAAGUGUGAUACAUAUAUUGUAGCUUGAAACAACAGAGAAUCUUUGGAUUUCAUGAGAUUCAAAUGUUGCAGAACAAAUUAACAAAAGCUUCUUCACUUCGUCAACAAACUAUUUAUGGCUCUCACUGAAAAACCUGCAUGCACUUCGUCUUUU